GCAUACGUAGCUUAAUUGGUUAAAGCAACCGACUUAUAAUCGGCUGAUUGAAGGUUCAAGCCCGUCCGUGUGCGCCA
RNAcentral lists this transfer RNA (77 nucleotides) under Caudoviricetes sp. Its description in RNAcentral is "tRNA-Ile". It matches the Rfam family "tRNA". Rfam says of the family: Transfer RNA (tRNA) molecules are approximately 80 nucleotides in length. Their secondary structure includes four short double-helical elements and three loops (D, anti-codon, and T loops). Further hydrogen bonds mediate the characteristic L-shaped molecular structure. tRNAs have two regions of fundamental functional importance: the anti-codon, which is responsible for specific mRNA codon recognition, and the 3' end, to which the tRNAs corresponding amino acid is attached (by aminoacyl-tRNA synthetases). tRNAs cope with the degeneracy of the genetic code in two manners: having more than one tRNA (with a specific anti-codon) for a particular amino acid; and 'wobble' base-pairing, i.e. permitting non-standard base-pairing at the 3rd anti-codon position. Lineage: Duplodnaviria; Heunggongvirae; Uroviricota; Caudoviricetes. The record is from RNAcentral.